CACGUAGUUAGCCGGGGCUUCCUCCUCAAGUACCGUCAUUAUCUUCCUUGAGGACAGAGCUUUACGACCCGAAGGCCUUCAUCGCUCACGCGGCGUUGCUGCAUCAGGCUUUCGCCCAUUGUGCAAUAUUCCCCACUGCUGCCUCCCGUAGGAGUCUGGACCGUGUCUCAGUUCCAGUGUGGCCGAUCACCCUCUCAGGUCGGCUACUGAUCGUCGCCUUGGUAAGCCGUUACCUUACCAACUAGCUAAUCAGACGCAGGUCCAUCCUGUACCGCCGGAGCUUUGAUAUAAAAGCCAUGCGACUUUCAUAUGUCAUCCCGUAUUAGCAUACCUUUCGGUAUGUUAUCCGUGUGUACAGGGCAGGUUACCCACGCGUUACUCACCCGUCCGCCGCUCUCUUCCGAAGAAGAUCGCUCGACUUGCAUGUGUUAGGCACGCCGCCAGCGUUCAUCCUGAGCCAGGAUCAAACUC
RNAcentral lists this ribosomal RNA (471 nucleotides) under uncultured Sporacetigenium sp. Its description in RNAcentral is "partial 16S ribosomal RNA". The record is from RNAcentral. Lineage: Bacteria; Bacillati; Bacillota; Clostridia; Peptostreptococcales; Tepidibacteraceae.